GGGCUGAGGCCAGACUGUGCCAGUGGCACAACUAUUAUCUGAACGAACCUGGCAAAUGUGCUACAUUUGAGGCUGAGACAGGGAGGAAUGGCUGCUUCUCCACCCAGAUAUCCACGGCUUCUUUCAACCUGACCAGCCCCGACUAUGAGAGGCGGCUCUACGCCAAUGCAAUUCUGACAGAGCGGAGGACUGGGAAUUUUUAUAGACUGACUAAAAGCUGUAACAUUCUGCCUGAAAUGCCCACAGCUGCAUUCAAGAACACCGAUGGUUUCUACAAGCAUGGGAUGCCCCCCACUGGCACGGGUGAUCUCAAGGAGGUGCCUCUGCCCUCAAAGCACGAAAGCCGAAAUGACAGUACCGUCCUGAAUUCCUCCUCUUCGGACAGCCAAAGUUUCUUGAAGAUCCACAGGAUGAAAAGGACGCCACCCUGCAGAAAGCCCCUGCGACUCCGGGUAGAUUACGUCCUCAACAAGGAGGCCCUGGGGACCGAGCUGCAGAGCGUGGAUGUGGUCUUCCUGGUCAUGGCCAGAGAUACCAUUGUCAGCGUCCUCAGGAAGGAGCUGACCUUGGAGGCAGGUA
RNAcentral lists this long non-coding RNA (579 nucleotides) under Anas platyrhynchos (mallard). Its description in RNAcentral is "lncRNA (ENSAPLG00020013229.1)". The record is from RNAcentral. Lineage: Eukaryota; Metazoa; Chordata; Aves; Anseriformes; Anatidae.